This 1270-nucleotide long non-coding RNA is filed under the name Coturnix japonica (Japanese quail). RNAcentral's name for it is "lncRNA (ENSCJPG00005003304.1)". Lineage: Eukaryota; Metazoa; Chordata; Aves; Galliformes; Phasianidae. The record is from RNAcentral.
CCUGCUUGUACUGUUCUUAUACUAUUCUAGAAUCAGCCUUCAUCUAUUGUUAAAAACAGAGGGUAAUUAGAGGUUGGCUUGGCCCACUAAAGCCAUUUUGUAAUAUUUAACUUCUAUUUUUUUAAUUGGUAAUCAGUCCAGGACCAAAUAAAGCAUCCCUUUGGGCUCAUUAUGGAUACUGUAAGUCUUUUCCAACUUUGGUGAUUCUAUCAUCUCAUAGUUCUCAGAAUGUUUUACUAGACCUUGUUAGACCUCGAGGUUGUUACUUUAAUUUCUUUUCAGCUGGAUCUACUUGUGCACAAUAGAAUAUGACUGUAACCUCAAACAGAAUCUGAAGAGGACAGUUUAUGUGCAAGGCGCUAUGCGCGUUUACCAUGAGUAUAUAAGGAACCAAGGCUGUAAAGCAAUUAGACUCUCCCCCCCACCCCCACCUCAUUCUUCUUGAUGAAGAAACCACACAAAUUAUUCAUGUACUUAAUCACAGUCUUUGAUAUUCUCAGUGGAAAUACUAUGAUGAAUAAUCAGAGCAAAUGACCAAAAUUCUUGUGUAAUGAGCCCUGUGUUAAUUGCCCCACUGUCCAUUCAAAUACAAAAAGUACUAAUGAAGCACGCAGUCUCAUCAUCUUCAGACUGACUUUUGUUAGACCUCUGUUAGAAGUUAUUCACCCAAGAGAAAUAGCAGAACGUGAUGAACUCCAGUGCAGGGCCUUGCCUUUCAUCUGGAAGUGAAUGUCCUUCAGUGGGACCUGACUCAGAAUCACCCAUAGUGACCCCAGUCUCACCCAGCCAUGGCUCCCUUACCACAUUACACACCACAGACAUUCAAGAUUUGACAGCAGUGGGAUGGAUAAAGGCUGCAUCUUUUUUCUCUACUUCAGUGGGACAAGUUUUCAUCUUUAUGAGACUUCUUACUGGCUAUGGGAUUUAGGAGAUGAUACACAUCCUUUCAAUAAAAUGAGCUGUAAUGCAGAUACUCUGCCCAUUCACAAGAAGUUUACCAGAGUUACCACAGCCAAAGAGUAAGACAAGCAAGGAACAUGUAUGUGCCUUCAGAGCAGAACUGGACACCAGAGUGCUUUUGGCAUUGAUGACUAUUUUCUAUUUAUGCCCCAUGCAGGAGAGGGAAAUGGAGCAUCUGGAGACUCUCUGGACCUACAUGAAGGUUUUCCACUCCUGUGAUGAGCACCAGCUCCCAGGCACCUGCGGUUAUCUGGGCCAUGGAGUCACCUCAGCACCUUGCCCCCCCAGCCUUCAUUCCACCACCACCUAA